RNAcentral lists this ribosomal RNA (479 nucleotides) under uncultured bacterium. RNAcentral's name for it is "bacterial SSU rRNA". It matches the Rfam family "Bacterial small subunit ribosomal RNA", at positions 30 to 502 of the family's 1533-position model. The record is from RNAcentral.
AUUGAACGCUGGCGGCAUGCCUUACACAUGCAAGUCGAACGGCAGCACGGGAGCAAUCCUGGUGGCGAGUGGCGAACGGGUGAGUAAUAUAUCGGAACGUGCCCAGUCGUGGGGGAUAACGUAGCGAAAGCUACGCUAAUACCGCAUACGAUCUACGGAUGAAAGCGGGGGAUCGCAAGACCUCGCGCGAUUGGAGCGGCCGAUAUCAGAUUAGCUAGUUGGUGGGGUAAAAGCUCACCAAGGCGACGAUCUGUAGCUGGUCUGAGAGGACGACCAGCCACACUGGAACUGAGACACGGUCCAGACUCCUACGGGAGGCAGCAGUGGGGAAUUUUGGACAAUGGGCGCAAGCCUGAUCCAGCAAUGCCGCGUGCAGGAUGAAGGCCUUCGGGUUGUAAACUGCUUUUGUACGGAACGAAACGGUGAGCUCUAAUAAAGCUUGCUAAUGACGGUACCGUAAGAAUAAGCACCGGCUAACU